This 461-nucleotide ribosomal RNA is filed under the name uncultured bacterium. RNAcentral describes it as "bacterial SSU rRNA". It matches the Rfam family "Bacterial small subunit ribosomal RNA", at positions 1 to 507 of the family's 1533-position model. The record is from RNAcentral.
UCGUACGACGAGUUUGAUCAUGGCUCAGAACGAACGCUGGCGGCAGGCCUAACACAUGCAAGUCGAGCGAGGUAGCAAUACCUAGCGGCGGACGGGUGAGUAACGCGUGGGAACGUACCCUUUGCUACGGAAUAGCCCCGGGAAACUGGGAGUAAUACCGUAUGUGCCCUUCGGGGGAAAGAUUUAUCGGCAAAGGAUCGGCCCGCGUUGGAUUAGGUAGUUGGUGGGGUAAUGGCCUACCAAGCCGACGAUCCAUAGCUGGUUUGAGAGGAUGAUCAGCCACACUGGGACUGAGACACGGCCCAGACUCCUACGGGAGGCAGCAGUGGGGAAUCUUAGACAAUGGGCGCAAGCCUGAUCUAGCCAUGCCGCGUGAGUGAUGAAGGCCUUAGGGUUGUAAAGCUCUUUCAGAUGGGAAGAUAAUGACGGUACCAUCAGAAGAAGCCCCGGCUAACUCCGUG